AGCACAUGUCUGAGCUCUUCAGCUCAGAGAUAAAGUAUGGCCUAAAGUAUGGCCUAGUCUUAUAAUCCAGUUAAUAGUUUAAAAUUGCUGUUUAUUUAUUUCUUGCUGCUGUAACUGCUGUUCUGAAAAGAAAGAAAAGUACUUCAUCUGAAAUAAAACAGACAAUGUGGAGGGGAAAAAAUCAAGAAAUCCUCCUUAUUGUCAUGGAUGGCAAAAAUGGAGUGCAGCUCUGAGGAGAAAGAUCACACAAUUUUAUUGAAGCAACGAUCACUGGGUUCCAGCCUACAGAAGAAAAGGAAACAGAACACAAAGGAUAGGCCACAGACAGAAUCUGAGAUGAGAGAGGUGCCAAGACUUGGCAUUCUGACAGCAAGAACUUUGGAACAGAUUGUAAAAAUCCAGAUACAAUGGAAAUUCAUAAGCAGAGGGAAGGAAACUUCUUGCGAGAAUCAUAGAAUGUAAUGGUUGGAAGGUAUUUUGAAGAUCAUGCAGUCUAGUCCUGGCCUUGUGCAGAUCCAUUAAUUCAGCCUCCCUGACAGAUGACCAUCCAGCCUCCAUUUAAAUAUCACCAGCACAGGAGAGCCUGCCAUCUUGCAAGACAGCCUGUUCCACUCUCAAUCAGCUCCUACAAAUAGGAUUUUUUUCCUAUGUCCUACCUGAAAUCUACUUCCUUGAACUGUAAAUCCAUUGGCUCUUGUUCCAUUUUCUGGAACAACUCUGAACAAUUCUAACACAUUUUCUAUAGUAAAGCCCCUUGGAUACUUGAAGACUACCAUCAUGUCUCCCUGCAAUCUUCUCUUUCCCAGGCGACACAUACCCAAAACUUCCCACCUAUCCUCAUUUUUUUCUUCCAGCUGCUUAUUAUCUUGGUUAUUCUUCAUAACUUCUUGCAGGCUCCUACCAAACAGUGCAUUCAUUUCUAAAUGUUCACAAACCAUUGCUUAA
Python bivittatus (Burmese python) is the source of this 945-nucleotide long non-coding RNA. RefSeq lists it as uncharacterized. Lineage: Eukaryota; Metazoa; Chordata; Lepidosauria; Squamata; Pythonidae. The record is from RefSeq and is a predicted model, not a curated record.